CAUGUAACCACUAGGUGGCGGUAAGAGUGCAAAUGUUCGCUUUUUUCUCAGAAGCAGUAGAAGAAGAAGCUACGGAUGGAGGGAAGAGAGCGGACGGAGUCUGAACUUCGCGGCUUUUUCAAAUUUAUGUUGCUGGGUCGUCUUUUUGCUGAGGAGGUGGCACUUUUUUUGGACAAAAUAAAGGAUAUUUUGGACGAAGAGAAGACAAAUCACCACAUUUUGAUUCACCUGCAGCCGUGUUGCAGAGGAGAAAUACAUUUAUUCACAUGGAUUGAAGCAGAAUUUGCUGGUCUGACAUCUGUUAAUCUCAAGGCUACUUUCUUCAAUGGGCUGGAUCAGUUCCUACCAGGGCUACUAGACCUGUACGAGCCCACGGCUGGGACGCUAGCUGGACUGAGCAAUCUGUCUUGAUCAACCCUCUACUCAAAGAAAGAUGGAAAUUGUUCUGCUGGGCCUUCCCCACUUUCUCAAGGAGGACCCAAAACUGCUUAGUCCCCUGAUGAGGAGGCUUCAAUCAUGGGAGGGUUGAAACUUGUUGUUGUACUAAUUGAAGAUGGAGAAGACAUGGUGGAACAUCAGUUGUUCUUGAAGAACAAAUCAUUUUGAAUGAUAUGAAGAACUUUCCUCAUGCUAUUGCUCUGCUGAUGGGCCUGCUGUCUGCACCCAACAUGGACUAUACCAAAGGCCAGCGCUACACUUUUGAAGUCAUUCAAAAGAUCUUCAUGGACAUUGGUGAGGGACAGUGCUCCUCGUUAGUUCAUGGUCUGAGAAUUACAAUAUAGAUUUUUGUUUGAUUAAUUAUGGUUUUGUCUACAGAACGUAAUGAAAGUAACCUGUAAAGGAAGGAGUUCUUGCCCAACGUAUUAUUUUUUUCUCCUGAGCAUAAUGGGAGUAAGAAAUGUCCAUCCUGAAAUCAUUUUUGUUUGGAAAAUAAAUAAAGGAAUUGUGGUUUAAAAUUUAUUGUUUUUCUUGAAAACCCACUUGUUUUAAUUAUCUAUCAUUUUCUAUUUCAAUGAAUCACGGUAUCCAAAUAUUGUAGUACUAAUUUAGGGAAUUUUAAAUUUUUUAAAUAUUCUUCUUUAGGUCUAGUCAAUUAAAAAUCU
This is a long non-coding RNA of Oryzias melastigma (Indian medaka), 1103 nucleotides long. RefSeq lists it as uncharacterized. The transcript has 5 exons. The record is from RefSeq and is a predicted model, not a curated record. NCBI's taxonomy places the organism in Eukaryota, Metazoa, Chordata, Actinopteri, Beloniformes, Adrianichthyidae.